GUGAAGAACGCAGCGAAAUGCGAUAAGUAAUGUGAAUUGCAGAAUCCAGUGAAUCAUCGAAUCUUUGAACGCACAUUGCGCCCGCCAGCAUUCUGGCGGGCAUGCCUGUUCGAGCGUCAUUUCAACCCUCGACCUCCCUUUGGGGAAGUCGGCGUUGGGGACCGGCAGCACACCGCCGGCCCUGAAAUGGAGUGGCGGCCCGUCCGCGGCGACCUCUGCGUAGUAAUCCAACUCGCACCGGAACCCCGACGCGGCCACGCCGUAAAACACCCAACUUCUGAACGUUGACCUCGAAUCAGGUAGGACUACCCGCUGAACUUAAGCAUAUCAAUAAGCGGAGGA
Molecule: unclassified non-coding RNA, 342 nt
Filed under: soil metagenome
Description: partial contains 5.8S ribosomal RNA, internal transcribed spacer 2, and large subunit ribosomal RNA
Rfam family: 5.8S ribosomal RNA (bases 2-119)
Source: RNAcentral